This 496-nucleotide ribosomal RNA is filed under the name uncultured bacterium. RNAcentral's name for it is "partial 16S ribosomal RNA". It matches the Rfam family "Bacterial small subunit ribosomal RNA", at positions 28 to 506 of the family's 1533-position model. The record is from RNAcentral.
GAUGAACGCUGGCGGCGUGCCUAAUACAUGCAAGUCGAGCGAACAGACGAGGAGCUUGCUCCUCUGACGUUAGCGGCGGACGGGUGAGUAACACGUGGAUAACCUACCUAUAAGACUGGGAUAACUUCGGGAAACCGGAGCUAAUACCGGAUAAUAUAUUGAACCGCAUGGUUCAAUAGUGAAAGACGGUUUUGCUGUCACUUAUAGAUGGAUCCGCGCCGCAUUAGCUAGUUGGUAAGGUAACGGCUUACCAAGGCAACGAUGCGUAGCCGACCUGAGAGGGUGAUCGGCCACCCUGGAACUGAGACCCGGUCCAGACUCCUACGGGAGGCAGCAGUAGGGAAUCUUCCGCAAUGGGCGAAAGCCUGACGGGGCAACGCCGCGUGGGUGAUGAAGGUCUUCGGAUCGUAAAACUCUGUUAUUAGGGAAGAACAAAUGUGUAAGUAACUAUGCACGUCUGGACGGUACCUAAUCAGAAAGCCACGGCUAACUACGU